CAAGCGUUGUCCGGAAUUAUUGGGCGUAAAGAGCUCGUAGGCGGUCUGUCACGUCGGCUGUGAAAUCCCGAGGCUCAACCUCGGGUCUGCAGUCGAUACGGGCAAACUAGAGUAUUGCAGGGGAGACUGGAAUUCCUGGUGUAGCGGUGAAAUGCGCAGAUAUCAGGAGGAACACCGGUGGCGAAGGCGGGUCUCUGGGCAAUAACUGACGCUGAGGAGCGAAAGCGUGGGGAGCGAACAGG
This 242-nucleotide ribosomal RNA is filed under the name uncultured bacterium. Its description in RNAcentral is "partial 16S ribosomal RNA". It matches the Rfam family "Bacterial small subunit ribosomal RNA", at positions 535 to 776 of the family's 1533-position model. The record is from RNAcentral.